Molecule: ribosomal RNA, 495 nt
Filed under: uncultured bacterium
Lineage: Bacteria
Description: partial 16S ribosomal RNA
Rfam family: Bacterial small subunit ribosomal RNA
Source: RNAcentral
GAUGAACGCUAGCGGGAGGCCUAACACAUGCAAGCCGAGCGGUAUUGUUUCUUCGGAAAUGAGAGAGCGGCGUACGGGUGCGUAACACGUGUGCAACCUGCCUUUAUCUGGGGGAUAGCCCUUCGAAAGGAAGAUUAAUACUCCAUAAUAUAUUGAACGGCAUCGUUUAAUAUUGAAAGCUCCGGCGGAUAGAGAUGGGCACGCGAAAGAUUAGCUAGUUGGUGAGGUAACGGCUCACCAAGGCGAUGAUCUUUAGGGGGCCUGAGAGGGUGAUCCCCCACCCUGGUACUGGAACACGGACCAGACUCCUACGGGAGGCAGCAGUGAGGAAUAUUGGUCAAUGGGUGCAAGCCUGAACCACCCAUCCCGCGUGAAGGACGACUGCCCUAUGGGUUGUAAACUUCUUUUGUAUAGGGAUAAACCUACCCUCGUGAGGGUAGCUGAAGGUACUAUACGAAUAAGCACCGGCUAACUCCGUGCCAGCCGCCGCCGUAA